This 1090-nucleotide ribosomal RNA is filed under the name bacterium. Its description in RNAcentral is "bacterial SSU rRNA". It matches the Rfam family "Bacterial small subunit ribosomal RNA", at positions 411 to 1452 of the family's 1533-position model. The record is from RNAcentral.
AAGGCCUUCGGGUUGUAAAGUACUUUCAGCGGGGAGGAGGGAAAAGGGAGUAAAAGUUUAAUACCUUUUGGCUCAAUUGACGGUUAACCCGCAAGAGAGGAAGCACCCGGGCUAACUCCCGGUGCCCAGCAAGCCCGCGGUAAUACGGGAAGGGUGCAAGGCGUUAAUCGGGAAUUACUGGGGCGUAAAGCGCACGGCCAGGCGGUUUGUUAAGUCAAGAUGUGAAAUCCCCCGGGGCUCAACCUUGGGGAACUGCAUUCUGAUACUGGCAAGGCUUGAGUUCUCGUAGAGGGGGGGUAGAAUUCCAGGGUGUAGCGGUGAAAUGCGUAGAGAUCUGGAGGAAUACCGGUGGCGAAGGCGGCCCCCUGGACGAAGACUGACGCUCAGGUGCGAAAGCGUGGGGAGCAAACAGGAUUAGAUACCCUGGUAGUCCACGCCGUAAACGAUGUCGACUUGGAGGUUGUGCCCUUGAGGCGUGGCUUCCGGAGCUAACGCGUUAAGUCGACCGCCUGGGGAGUACGGCCGCAAGGUUAAAACUCAAAUGAAUUGACGGGGGCCCGCACAAGCGGUGGAGCAUGUGGUUUAAUUCGAUGCAACGCGAAGAACCUUACCUGGUCUUGACAUCCACAGAACUUUCCAGAGAUGGAUUGGUGCCUUCGGGAACUGUGAGACAGGUGCUGCAUGGCUGUCGUCAGCUCGUGUUGUGAAAUGUUGGGGUUAAGUCCCGCAACGAGCGCAACCCUUUAUCCUUUGUUGCCAGCGGUCCGGCCGGGAACUCAAAGGAGACUGCCAGUGAUAAACUGGAGGAAGGUGGGGAUGACGUCAAGUCAUCAUGGCCCUUACGACCAGGGCUACACACGUGCUACAAUGGCGCAUACAAAGAGAAGCGACCUCGCGAGAGCAAGCGGACCUCAUAAAGUGCGUCGUAGUCCGGAUUGGAGUCUGCAACUCGACUCCAUGAAGUCGGAAUCGCUAGUAAUCGUGGAUCAGAAUGCCACGGUGAAUACGUUCCCGGGCCUUGUACACACCGCCCGUCACACCAUGGGAGUGGGUUGCAAAAGAAGUAGGUAGCUUAACCUUCGGGAGGGCG